AUUUAUUCCCUGGGAACCACUCUCAGCUUGACUUUUCUGAAUCUCUCAGUACAAAACAAUAAAUUGCUGCUUCAAGCCAUGAAAAAUUUUGAUGUAGACAAAGCCACAGUGACAGUGGCUGACUUUAAUCUGCCAUUUAAGGCAAAUUAAAAGCUCUCCUCUUUGUAGGUGUAGGUUUGGGAGCUGCUGGCGUGUGUGGUUCUGGGAAUGCCUCCAGGAUUGCUGGGACUGUCCCCUUUGCUGGGUGGGGAAGGACAGAGUGUCCACGGGGGGAAGGAAAUGCUCUGGGAUUUGUUGAUCCCGGGAUGGAGAGAGGUUUUCCUCGGUGAGCACGGGGAGGAGGGUGCUGGGUCAGCACAUCCCUCCUCUCCCAGCGCUGCCUGGGAUUUCCAGGCAGUGUCAGAGCCUGGCUCUGCUCCCCUCACACCUGGAGAGUCGAUACUGAGGAGGGCUCAUCAAACCCAGCCUGCUGAACACCUCGCACUAAUUAGGAGGCAGCUGUACAGUGGCCAUAAAUCCAUUUCCUCUGGGAAACGAGCUACCUGACGUGAUCUUUCUGUGUGCAAACCCUGCCGAGCCCUACCCUGCAUCUGGGCUGCUUUUAAAGAAGAGAAGUGUCUUUGGCUUCUGCAUCCAACGGGAUUCUGAAGAAAUUCAGGAUCUGAGUGAAUGAAUUCCGAUGUUACCCAAAGAGGCUGGGGCUGCCCUGGAUCCCAGGCUGGACACUGGGGCUGGGAACAACCUGGGACAGGGGAAGGCGUCCCUGCCAUGNNNNNNNNNNNNNNNNNNNNGGUGGGAUGGGUGGGAUUUGGGGUCCCUCCCAACCCAUCCCAAUCUGGGGUUCUGGAUUUGCCUUGUUCUGCUUUCAGCCCAGGAACUGGAGGGCAGUAAGCCCUCGUUUGUUCUGCCUCCCUAAAUUACCAGAGUUUGAAGUUUUGGUAUCAAUAACUCCGACUUUGGAUAAAACCAGCUUGUGAAUAUUGCAUAAAUACCAGAAAACUAAUCGAUUGAGUCCAGCAGAAAGGAGAGUGAUAUUCUACAGAGGGAAUUUUACAGGAGGAAUGCGUCUCCCUCCUUUUCCCCACCCAGUCUGCCGGGGGUCAUCUCCUGCCAGAGAGCUGGGAGAGCCUCCCGAGGAGCCCAAGGCAACUCCUGCCAUCCCAGAGGUGAAAAAGGGUGAAAUCCCACAUCACACAGGGAUUCCUGCCCGAAUUCUUAUUGCACGGAAGCUUCUCUUCAUUUAUCUCCUCCUUUUUUGAUAUCUCUUAAUGGGGUUGU
Molecule: long non-coding RNA, 1278 nt
Filed under: Cyanistes caeruleus (blue tit)
Lineage: Eukaryota; Metazoa; Chordata; Aves; Passeriformes; Paridae
Description: lncRNA (ENSCCEG00000020189.1)
Source: RNAcentral